GAUGAAGAACGUAGCGAAAUGCGAUAAGUAAUGUGAAUUGCAGAAUUCAGUGAAUCAUCGAAUCUUUGAACGCACAUUGCGCCCACCAGUAUUCUGGCGGGCAUGCCUGUUCGAGCGUCAUUUCAACCAUCAAGCCCCCGGCUUGUGUUGGGGACCUGCGGCUGCCGCAGGCCCUGAAAACCAGUGGCGGGCUCGCUGUCACACCGAGCGUAGUAGAUUUUCAUCUCGCUCAGGGCGUGCUGCGGGUUCCGGCCGUAAAAAGCCUUAUUUACCCAAGGUUGACCUCGGAUCAGGUAGGAAGACCCGCUGAACUUAAGCAUAUCAAUAAGCGGAGGA
This 336-nucleotide unclassified non-coding RNA is filed under the name soil metagenome. RNAcentral's name for it is "partial contains 5.8S ribosomal RNA, internal transcribed spacer 2, and large subunit ribosomal RNA". The stretch from base 1 to 120 matches the Rfam family "5.8S ribosomal RNA", at positions 35 to 154 of the family's 154-position model. The record is from RNAcentral.